AAGGAGGAGCUUUCCAUAAUCUAUUGUGAUUUGUUUGAUGAAUGGGAUAAGGUUUCUUUUUGAAACAAAGGAUGAAUACUUCUGGAAAACAAGAAGAUACAGGAGAUUCAUUGGAUUCAAGUUCAUCAAUUUUGAAAAAUAAGUUUAUGGGGAAAGUGUGUUACUUUUGAAAAAUCCUUACAGACUUAAGGAUGAUUGAAACAUGUCCACUUUUGGAUAUUUGUGUGGCUAUACUUAAAAGUAUGGUUACUAUGAAAAGAUGUACUAAGGAAAUUAGUAUGUGUAAUAUUAUUAUGGUAUUAAUAAUAUUGAUGUCUCGAAACAUUCGGUUUAUAUACAACUAAUAGUGGGAUGUUUGACUAGCAUGGAAGUCGGAAUUGUUUAGAGGUAUAGAUAGAUACCUUUGAGACACAAUGAGACAAAUGCUAGGAGAGUUUCUCCAUGAGAUUUAAUGGUGGAGGAAGAUGGAAACUUACAUCACAAGUUGGCAUAAUGAGACAAG
RNAcentral lists this long non-coding RNA (502 nucleotides) under Linum usitatissimum (flax). Its description in RNAcentral is "long non-coding RNA (LUSI_LNC004788)". The record is from RNAcentral. Lineage: Eukaryota; Viridiplantae; Streptophyta; Magnoliopsida; Malpighiales; Linaceae.